This 468-nucleotide ribosomal RNA is filed under the name uncultured bacterium. RNAcentral describes it as "partial 16S ribosomal RNA". It matches the Rfam family "Bacterial small subunit ribosomal RNA", at positions 28 to 507 of the family's 1533-position model. The record is from RNAcentral.
GACGAACGCUGGCGGCGUGCUUAACACAUGCAAGUCGAACGGAAAGGUCCUGCUUUUGUGGGGUGCUCGAGUGGCGAACGGGUGAGUAACACGUGAGUAACCUGCCCUUGACUUUGGGAUAACUUCAGGAAACUGGGGCUAAUACCGGAUAGGAGCUCCUGCUGCAUGGUGGGGGUUGGAAAGUUUCGGCGGUUGGGGAUGGACUCGCGGCUUAUCGGCUUGUUGGUGGGGUAGUGGCUUACCAAGGCUUUGACGGGUAGCCGGCCUGAGAGGGUGACCGGCCACAUUGGGACUGAGAUACGGCCCAGACUCCUACGGGAGGCAGCAGUGGGGAAUAUUGCACAAUGGGCGGAAGCCUGAUGCAGCAACGCCGCGUGCGGGAUGACGGCCUUCGGGUUGUAAACCGCUUUCGCCUGUGACGAAGCGUGAGUGACGGUAAUGGGUAAAGAAGCACCGGCUAACUACGUG